Trifolium pratense (red clover) is the source of this 467-nucleotide long non-coding RNA. RefSeq lists it as uncharacterized. The transcript has 2 exons. The record is from RefSeq and is a predicted model, not a curated record. NCBI's taxonomy places the organism in Eukaryota, Viridiplantae, Streptophyta, Magnoliopsida, Fabales, Fabaceae.
UUUUUUUUACAAUAAAAUUUUCCUUUUUUUUUUACAACAUAAUAAAAUUCUAUUUGAUACAUGCAAAAAUUAGAAAAUAUGGAUAAAAUUUUUAAGUUUGUUAAUGUUAUGAUAAUCAUUUUUUCCCUAUUUCUUGCUUCAACACGAAUUUCCCAUGCUGACAUUCCCAUUCCAUGUAAAACUGAUCGUGAUUGUCCGGUACCUACCAUCUCCCCAUUCCGCCGUCCUAAAAGAAUGAGAUGCCGUAAAGGUUAUUGUAUAGGAUAAUAACUAUAAAGAUCGAAAGAUUAUAUGAUUGUCAGGUCCAAAAAAAAUAUACAAACGCACUACAAGAAUACUCCAUGAGUUCUCAUUUUAUGGGCCCAUAAAAUGAAUUUUCUUUUAACUUUUCUAAUUUCACGUAGCUUAUUAGUUUUGUAUUUUAAGAUGACGCAAGUGAAAUAAAGCAUGAAAAAUAUUAUCAACAA